UGCCAGACUCCUACGGGAGGCAGCAGUGAGGAAUAUUGGUCAAUGGGCUUACGCCUGAACCAGCCAAGUCGCGUGAGGGAAGACUGCCCUAUGGGUUGUAAACCUCUUUUGUCAGGGAGCAACGCCGGCUACGUGUAGCCGGACUGAGAGUACCUGAAGAAAAAGCAUCGGCUAACUCCGUGCCAGCAGCCGCGGUAAUACGGAGGAUGCGAGCGUUAUCCGGAUUUAUUGGGUUUAAAGGGUGCGUAGGCGGAAUGCCAAGUCGGGGGUAAAAUCGCGGGGCUCAACCUCGCUCCGCCGUUGAAACUGGGUGCCUUGAGUGGGCGAGAAGUACGCGGAAUGCGUGGUGUAGCGGUGAAAUGCAUAGAUAUCACGCAGAACUCCGAUUGCGAAGGCAGCGUACCGGCGCCCAACUGGCGCUGAAGCACGAAGGCGUGGGUAUCGAACAGGAUUAGAUACCCGAGUAU
This 467-nucleotide ribosomal RNA is filed under the name uncultured bacterium. RNAcentral describes it as "bacterial SSU rRNA". It matches the Rfam family "Bacterial small subunit ribosomal RNA", at positions 329 to 793 of the family's 1533-position model. The record is from RNAcentral.